UACGUAGGGUGCAAGCGUUGUCCGGAAUUAUUGGGCGUAAAGAGCUCGUAGGCGGCUCGUCGCGUCGGCUGUGAAAACCUGGGGCUCAACCCCGGGCCUGCAGCCGAUACGGGCGAGCUAGAAUUCGGUAGGGGAGACUGGAAUUCCUGGUGUAGCGGUGAAAUGCGCAGAUAUCAGGAGGAACACCGGUGGCGAAGGCGGGUCUCUGGGCCGAUAUUGACGCUGAGGAGCGAAAGCGUGGAGAGCGAACAGG
RNAcentral lists this ribosomal RNA (253 nucleotides) under uncultured bacterium. RNAcentral's name for it is "partial 16S ribosomal RNA". It matches the Rfam family "Bacterial small subunit ribosomal RNA", at positions 524 to 776 of the family's 1533-position model. The record is from RNAcentral.